Caenorhabditis elegans is the source of this 148-nucleotide non-coding RNA. NCBI's taxonomy places the organism in Eukaryota, Metazoa, Nematoda, Chromadorea, Rhabditida, Rhabditidae. The record is from Ensembl.
AUUGCAUUUGCGUCAAUUGUGGUGCAGGCAUAACAUCGGAUAUCUUGACUUUUAACAACUGAAAUCAAAAUUUUUUACUAGAAGCUCUGCAAGCUGAUUUACCAGUUAUUAAACUAAAUACCGAAGCCAUAAAAAUUGCUGACGACAU